UAACACGUGGGUAACCUGCCUUAUAGUGGGGGAGUAGCCUUUCGAAAGGAAGAUUAAUACCGCAUAAGAUUGUAGUAUCGCAUGAUAUAGCAAUUAAAGGAGCAAUUCGCUAUAAGAUGGACCCGCGUCGCAUUAGCUAGUUGGUGAGGUAAUGGCUCACCAAGGCGACGAUGCGUAGCCGACCUGAGAGGGUGAUCGGCCACAUUGGGACUGAGACACGGCCCAGACUCCUACGGGAGGCAGCAUG
RNAcentral lists this ribosomal RNA (247 nucleotides) under uncultured bacterium. RNAcentral's name for it is "partial 16S ribosomal RNA". It matches the Rfam family "Bacterial small subunit ribosomal RNA", at positions 111 to 353 of the family's 1533-position model. The record is from RNAcentral.